AGAACGAACGCUGGCGGCAGGCCUAACACAUGCAAGUCGAACGCCCUAGCAAUAGGGAGUGGCAGACGGGUGAGUAACGCGUGGGAACCUUCCCAAUGGUACGGAAUAGCCCAGGGAAACUUGGAGUAAUACCGUAUAAUACCCGCAAGGGGAAGAUUUAUCGCCAUUGGAUGGGCCCGCGUCGGAUUAGCUAGUUGGUGAGGUAAUGGCUCACCAAGGCGACGAUCCGUAGCUGGUCUGAGAGGAUGAUCAGCCACACUGGGACUGAGACACGGCCCAGACUCCUACGGGAGGCAGCAGUGGGGAAUAUUGGGCAAUGGGCGCAAGCCUGACCCAGCCAUGCCGCGUGAGUGACGACGGCCUUAGGGUGUAAAGCUCUUUUGGCGGGGACGAGUAAUGACGGUACCCGCAGAAUAAGCCCGGCUAACUUCGUGCCAGCAGCCG
This 444-nucleotide ribosomal RNA is filed under the name uncultured soil bacterium. RNAcentral's name for it is "bacterial SSU rRNA". It matches the Rfam family "Bacterial small subunit ribosomal RNA", at positions 26 to 517 of the family's 1533-position model. The record is from RNAcentral.